UGUGCGUUUCUCUGGGGAAGAGU
This 23-nucleotide non-coding RNA is filed under the name Cricetulus griseus (Chinese hamster). Lineage: Eukaryota; Metazoa; Chordata; Mammalia; Rodentia; Cricetidae. The record is from RNAcentral.